This 253-nucleotide ribosomal RNA is filed under the name uncultured bacterium. Its description in RNAcentral is "partial 16S ribosomal RNA". It matches the Rfam family "Bacterial small subunit ribosomal RNA", at positions 524 to 776 of the family's 1533-position model. The record is from RNAcentral.
UACGUAGGGAGCAAGCGUUGUCCGGAAUCAUUGGGCGUAAAGCGCGCGUAGGUGGCUUCGUAAGUCCGUUGUGAAAGUCAAAGGCUCAACCUUUGAAAGCCGAUGGAUACUGCGGAGCUAGAGUACGGAAGAGGCGAGUGGAAUUCCUGGUGUAGCGGUGGAAUGCGCAGAUAUCAGGAGGAACACCGGUGGCGAAGGCGGGUCUCUGGGCCGUAACUGACGCUGAGGAGCGAAAGCGUGGGGAGCGAACAGG